This is a transfer RNA of Thecamonas trahens ATCC 50062, 72 nucleotides long. It matches the Rfam family "tRNA". From Rfam's summary of the family: Transfer RNA (tRNA) molecules are approximately 80 nucleotides in length. Their secondary structure includes four short double-helical elements and three loops (D, anti-codon, and T loops). Further hydrogen bonds mediate the characteristic L-shaped molecular structure. tRNAs have two regions of fundamental functional importance: the anti-codon, which is responsible for specific mRNA codon recognition, and the 3' end, to which the tRNAs corresponding amino acid is attached (by aminoacyl-tRNA synthetases). tRNAs cope with the degeneracy of the genetic code in two manners: having more than one tRNA (with a specific anti-codon) for a particular amino acid; and 'wobble' base-pairing, i.e. permitting non-standard base-pairing at the 3rd anti-codon position. NCBI's taxonomy places the organism in Eukaryota, Apusomonadida, Apusomonadidae. The record is from Rfam.
GGGCGUGUAGCUCAGGGGUAGAGCAAUGCAUUGCAGCUGCAUAGGUCGGCGUUUCGAUUACGUCCGCGCCCU